GGAAUAUUGGACAAUGGGCGCAAGCCUGAUCCAGCCAUGCCGCGUGUGUGAAGAAGGCCUUCGGGUUGUAAAGCACUUUCAGUGGGGAGGAAGGGGUUGUUGUUAAUAGCAACAAUUUUUGACGUUACCCACAGAAUACGCACCGCCUAACUCCGUGCCAGCAGCCGCGGUAAUCCGGGGGGUGCAAGCGUUAAUCGGAAUUACUGGGCGUAAAGCGCACGCAGGCGGCUUGUUAAGUCGGAUGUGAAAGCCCCGGGCUCAACCUGGGAAUUGCAUUCGAUACUGGGAAGCUAGAGUAUGUGAGAGGGGGGUAGAAUUCCAAGUGUAGCGGUGAAAUGCGUAGAGAGUUGGAGGAAUACCAGUGGCGAAGGCGGCCCCCUGGCACACUACUGACGCUCAGGUGCGAAAGCGUGGGGAGCAAAC
Molecule: ribosomal RNA, 423 nt
Filed under: uncultured bacterium
Lineage: Bacteria
Description: bacterial SSU rRNA
Rfam family: Bacterial small subunit ribosomal RNA
Source: RNAcentral